This is a long non-coding RNA of Gordionus sp. m RMFG-2023, 211 nucleotides long. RefSeq lists it as uncharacterized. The record is from RefSeq and is a predicted model, not a curated record. NCBI's taxonomy places the organism in Eukaryota, Metazoa, Nematomorpha, Gordioida, Chordodea, Parachordodidae. The transcript has 3 exons.
AAUACAUCUAUUUUAGCUUCUGAUAAUGUCCCAAUUAUUUCUAGGGAGUUGAACCUAAUAUUGACUCCUCUUCAGAUAACAAGCCCUGUCUUACCCUCUUAAGGAUUGUACAGGUGGUAUAUUGACUCCUCAUCAAAAUACAUCUAUUUUAGCUUCUGAUAAUGUCCCAACUAUUUCUAGGGAGUUGAACCUAAUAUUGACUCCUCUUCAG